This 500-nucleotide ribosomal RNA is filed under the name uncultured bacterium. RNAcentral describes it as "partial 16S ribosomal RNA". It matches the Rfam family "Bacterial small subunit ribosomal RNA", at positions 30 to 523 of the family's 1533-position model. The record is from RNAcentral.
AUUGAACGCUGGCGGCAUGCCUUACACAUGCAAGUCGAACGGCAGCACGGGAGCAAUCCUGGUGGCGAGUGGCGAACGGGUGAGUAAUAUAUCGGAACGUGCCCAGUCGUGGGGGAUAACGCAGCGAAAGCUGUGCUAAUACCCCAUAAGAUCUACGGAUGAAAGCGGGGGAUCGCAAGACCUCGCGCGAUUGGAGCGGCCGAUAUCAGAUUAGCUAGUUGGUGGGGUAAAGGCCCACCAAGGCGACGAUCUGUAGCUGGUCUGAGAGGACGACCAGCCACACUGGAACUGAGACACGGUCCAGACUCCUACGGGAGGCAGCAGUGGGGAAUUUUGGACAAUGGGCGCAAGCCUGAUCCAGCAAUGCCGCGUGCAGGAUGAAGGCCUUCGGGUUGUAAACUGCUUUUGUACGGAACGAAACGGCCCUUUCUAAUACAGGGGGCUAAUGACGGUACCGUAAGAAUAAGCACCGGCUAACUACGUGCCAGCCGCCGCAGUAA